ACUCAAAGGAAUAGACGGGGGCCCGCACAAGCGGUGGAGCAUGUGGUUUAAUUCGAUGAUACGCGAGGAACCUUACCAAGACUUAAAUGGGAAAUGACAGGUUUAGAAAUAGAUCCUUCUUCGGACAUUUUUCAAGGUGCUGCAUGGUUGUCGUCAGCUCGUGCCGUGAGGUGUUAGGUUAAGUCCUGCAACGAGCGCAACCCCUGUCACUAGUUGCUAACAUUCAGUUGAGGACUCUAGUGAGACUGCCUACGCAAGUAGAGAGGAAGGUGGGGAUGACGUCAAAUCAUCACGGCCCUUACGUCUUGGGCCACACACGUGCUACAAUGGCCAGUACAGAGGGCAGCUACCAGGUGACUGGAUGCGAAUCUCGAAAGCUGGUCUCAGUUCGGAUUGGAGUCUGCAACUCGACUCUAUGAAGCUGGAAUCGCUAGUAAUCGCGCAUCAGCCAUGGCGCGGUGAAUACGUUCCCGGGCCUUGUACACACCGCCCGU
This 494-nucleotide ribosomal RNA is filed under the name uncultured bacterium. Its description in RNAcentral is "partial 16S ribosomal RNA". It matches the Rfam family "Bacterial small subunit ribosomal RNA", at positions 899 to 1397 of the family's 1533-position model. The record is from RNAcentral.